Molecule: unclassified non-coding RNA, 149 nt
Filed under: soil metagenome
Description: partial internal transcribed spacer 1
Source: RNAcentral
AUGAUUGCCUCAGGCCUUAUCGAUUAUUAAUCCCAACACCUCUGUGAACCGUUUCGCCCUCGGGCUGAUCUUUUUUUUUUUUUCAUUUUAUAUUUUUAUUACAUAAUACAAACAUUGUGUAAUGACGUCUUGUUAAUCUUAAACAAAAC